AAAUUGAAGAGUUUGAUCAUGGCUCAGAUUGAACGCUGGCGGCAGGCCUAACACAUGCAAGUCGAACGGUAACAGAAAGCAGCUUGCUGCUUUGCUGACGAGUGGCGGACGGGUGAGUAAUGUCUGGGAAACUGCCCGAUGGAGGGGGAUAACUACUGGAAACGGUAGCUAAUACCGCAUAACGUCGCAAGACCAAAGAGGGGGACCUUAGGGCCUCUUGCCAUCGGAUGUGCCCAGAUGGGAUUAGCUAGUAGGUGGGGUAAUGGCUCACCUAGGCGACGAUCCCUAGCUGGUCUGAGAGGAUGACCAGCCACACUGGAACUGAGACACGGUCCAGACUCCUACGGGAGGCAGCAGUGGGGA
Molecule: ribosomal RNA, 363 nt
Filed under: Escherichia coli
Lineage: Bacteria; Pseudomonadati; Pseudomonadota; Gammaproteobacteria; Enterobacterales; Enterobacteriaceae
Description: bacterial SSU rRNA
Rfam family: Bacterial small subunit ribosomal RNA
Source: RNAcentral